GGCCUUGACAUACUAAGAACUUUCCAGAGAUGGAUUGGUGCCUUCGGGAACUUAGAUACAGGUGCUGCAUGGCUGUCGUCAGCUCGUGUCGUGAGAUGUUGGGUUAAGUCCCGNAACGAGCGCAACCCUUUUCCUAUUUGCCAGCGGGUCAUGUCGGGAACUUUAAGGAUACUGCCAGUGACAAACUGGAGGAAGGCGGGGACGACGUCAAGUCAUCAUGGCCCUUACGGCCAGGGCUACACACGUGCUACAAUGGUCGGUACAAAGGGUUGCUACCUCGCGAGAGGAUGCUAAUCUCAAAAAGCCGAUCGUAGUCCGGAUCGCAGUCUGCAACUCGACUGCGUGAAGUCGGAAUCGCUAGUAAUCGCGGAUCAGAAUGCCGCGGUGAAUACGUUCCCGGGCCUUGUACACACCGCCCGUCACACCAUGGGAGUUUGUUGCACCAGAAGUAGGUAGUCUAACCGCAAGGAGGACGCUUACCACGGUGUGGCCGAUGACUGGGGUGAAGUCGUAACAAGGUAGGCGUAGAUGA
RNAcentral lists this ribosomal RNA (532 nucleotides) under uncultured bacterium. RNAcentral describes it as "bacterial SSU rRNA". It matches the Rfam family "Bacterial small subunit ribosomal RNA", at positions 977 to 1509 of the family's 1533-position model. The record is from RNAcentral.